GGGCCCGCACAAGCGGUGGAGCAUGUGGUUUAAUUCGAUGAUACGCGAGGAACCUUACCAGGGCUUAAAUGUAGUGGGACAGGGUCUAGAGAUAGACCCUUCUUCGGACUCAUUACAAGGUGCUGCAUGGUUGUCGUCAGCUCGUGCCGUGAGGUGUCAGGUUAAGUCCUAUAACGAGCGCAACCCCUAUCGUUAGUUGCCAGCGAGUAAUGUCGGGAACUCUAACGAAACUGCCAGUGCAAACUGUGAGGAAGGUGGGGAUGACGUCAAAUCAUCACGGCCCUUACGUCCUGGCUACACACGUGCUACAAUGGCCGGUACAGAGAGCAGCCAACUUGCGAGAGUGAG
Molecule: ribosomal RNA, 348 nt
Filed under: uncultured bacterium
Lineage: Bacteria
Description: bacterial SSU rRNA
Rfam family: Bacterial small subunit ribosomal RNA
Source: RNAcentral